AGUGAACGCUGGCGGUAGGCCUAACACAUGCAAGUCGAACGGCAGCACAGUAAGAGCUUGCUCUUACGGGUGGCGAGUGGCGGACGGGUGAGGAAUACAUCGGAAUCUACUUUUUCGUGGGGGAUAACGUAGGGAAACUUACGCUAAUACCGCAUACGACCUACGGGUGAAAGCAGGGGAUCUUCGGACCUGGCGGGUUUGAAUGAGCCGAUGUCGGAUUAGCUAGUUGGCGGGGUAAAGGCCCACCAAGGCGACGAUGGGUAGCUGGUCUGAGAGGGUGACACGCCACAUUGGGACUGAGAUGCGGGCCGUACUCCUACUGGGGGCAGCAGUGGGAGAUAGUGCACGAUGGGCGGAGGCCGUGUGCAGCAACGCCGCGUGCGGGAUCACUGCCUUCGGGUUGUAAACCGCUUUCGUCUGUGACGCAGCGUGCGGGCGGUUAAUGGGUAAUGAGCACCCGGCAAACUACGUC
RNAcentral lists this ribosomal RNA (472 nucleotides) under uncultured bacterium. RNAcentral's name for it is "partial 16S ribosomal RNA". It matches the Rfam family "Bacterial small subunit ribosomal RNA", at positions 28 to 507 of the family's 1533-position model. The record is from RNAcentral.